CACGGAUCCAGAGUUUGAUCAUGGCUCAGGAUGAACGCUGGCGGCGUGCUUAACACAUGCAAGUCGAGCGAAGUUUAAAGAGCUUGCUUUUUAAACUUAGCGGCGGACGGGUGAGUAACGCGUGGGUAACCUGCCCUGUACAGAGGAAUAACAGUUAGAAAUGACUGCUAAUGCCUCAUAAGCCGACGGAAUGGCAUCUUUUUGUCGGAAAAKAUUUAUCGGUACAGGAGGGACCCGCGUCUGAUUAGCUAGUUGGUGAGGUAACGGCCCACCAAGGCGACGAUCAGUAGCCGGCCUGAGAGGGUGAACGGCCACAUUGGGACUGAGACACGGCCCAAACUCCUACGGGAGGCAGCAGUGGGGAAUAUUGGACAAUGGGGGAAACCCUGAUCBAGCGACGCCGCGUGAGUGAAGAAGUAUUUCGGUAUGUAAAGCUCUAUCAGCAAGGAAGAAAAUGACGGUACUUGACUAAGAAGCUCCCGGCUAAAUACGUGCCCAGCAGCCCGCGGUAAUACGUAUGGAGCAAGCGUUAUCCGGAUUUACUGGGUGUAAAGGGAGCGUAGACGGGAUAGCAAGUCUGAAGUGAAAUCCCAUGGCUUAACCAUGGAACUGCUUUGGAAACUGCCAGGCUAGAGUGCAGGAGAGGUAAGCGGAAUUCCUAGUGUAGCGGUGAAAUGCGUAGAUAUUAGGAGGAACACCAGUGGCGAAGGCGGCUUACUGGACUGUAACUGACGUUGAGGCUCCAAAGCGUGGGGA
This 756-nucleotide ribosomal RNA is filed under the name uncultured bacterium. RNAcentral describes it as "bacterial SSU rRNA". It matches the Rfam family "Bacterial small subunit ribosomal RNA", at positions 1 to 767 of the family's 1533-position model. The record is from RNAcentral.